Molecule: ribosomal RNA, 475 nt
Filed under: Triticum aestivum (bread wheat)
Lineage: Eukaryota; Viridiplantae; Streptophyta; Magnoliopsida; Poales; Poaceae
Description: partial small subunit ribosomal RNA
Rfam family: Eukaryotic large subunit ribosomal RNA
Source: RNAcentral
GUCAGGCGGGACUACCCGCUGAGUUUAAGCAUAUAAAUAAGCGGAGGAGAAGAAACUUACAAGGAUUCCCCUAGUAACGGCGAGCGAACCGGGAGCAGCCCAGCUUGAGAAUCGGGCGGCUGUGCCGUCCGAAUUGUAGUCUGGAGAGGCGUCCUCAGCGACGGACCGGGCCCAAGUCCCCUGGAAAGGGGCGCCUGGGAGGGUGAGAGCCCCGUCCGGCCCGGACCCUGUCGCCCCACGAGGCGCCGCCAACGAGUCGGGUUGUUUGGGAAUGCAGCCCAAAUCGGGCGGUAGACUCCGUCCAAGGCUAAAUACAGGCGAGAGACCGAUAGCGAACAAGUACCGCGAGGGAAAGAUGAAAAGGACUUUGAAAAGAGAGUCAAAGAGUGCUUGAAAUUGCCGGGAGGGAAGCGGAUGGGGGCCGGCGAUGCGCCCCGGCCGUAUGCGGAACGGCUCUUGCUGGUCCGCCGCUCGG